UUUUUCUAAUUAGUAGAGAAUAAAUUUGUUGCUAUGUGGAUAUAAGCGAUUGUCGCACUAUGUAAAUCUUUGUGUUUCACUCUUUUAAUUUUUUGGAGAGUUUUUUUUCCCUUUUGUUUUCCCAAACAUUGGUUUUUACUCUUUACAGGGGUGUUGUUUCGUAUUAUUUGUUAACAUAAUGUAGCUUUUUAAUAUAACUAUUGAUAGUUCAAUAUAUGCUCUUGAUAAAUUAUUAUAUAUUUUAUGACACUGGCGGAUGCAUAUUACACUUUUUUUGCGUUUAAUGAAAAUUUAGAAGAAAAUAUUUGUCAAGUAGGACCCAGAGUGCUAUAAAUCAUCAUAUUCGUACGAGUGUUUUAAAAAUUGGUGUGGUCCGUAUAAGGUUGAUGCUCUAAACAAUUAAAAUAAGGUGUAUCUUCAAAUAGUGCCGAAAUAUGUUGUUUUAGUGUUAGAAAUUUUUAUGAUAACCUGAAAAUUUAUUUUCAUUUUAAUUAUAAAAUUUAAAUAUUAAAAAAUAAUGUAGAUAGAGUAAAUCUAUAAAUACUUAAAAAACUAGAAAAUUGACGGCCUAGAUAACUCAUUAUAAGAUGCACUAUUUCCAAGACUUAAAAUUUAUUUUUUCUCUUGUCCAUAAAUCUUGAGGUUUAGAUGAUCGAAUUGCGGAUUUUAAAAAACCGGGACAACAUCUUCUUAUGAAUUUUUAAAAGGUGUCUUAAUUUGAUUGUUUAGAAAGGUGUCUUAAUUUGAUUGUUUAGAAACUCGCCCUUAUAUAAACUUUUUCCUUUAAAAAUUGGAAUUGAGUCGCUAGAGUCAAAAUCAUUGAUCCCAAUCCAAAUUGGCAAUCCCACUAAAAUUAUAAGAAAAAAUAAACAAACUAAAAACAACAUAAAAACGUUGGAUUAAAAGAAAAGGUGCAGUUUGCGUACGGAUGCAUCUGUAGAUCUAGAGGUAAAGUGUACUUCCAAAUUUUAUCAUGGUAUAUAAUUUUGAUGUAAAAUGUUCUUAGAAUUAUCUCAAAAUCUAUUUUUAUUAAAUUUUAAAUUUAAAAAAUGGUUAAAAUCAAGUAGAUCUAUAAACAUAUGAA
Molecule: long non-coding RNA, 1084 nt
Filed under: Amborella trichopoda
Lineage: Eukaryota; Viridiplantae; Streptophyta; Magnoliopsida; Amborellales; Amborellaceae
Description: long non-coding RNA (ATRI_LNC002453)
Source: RNAcentral